This 693-nucleotide ribosomal RNA is filed under the name uncultured eukaryote. RNAcentral describes it as "SSU rRNA". It matches the Rfam family "Eukaryotic small subunit ribosomal RNA", at positions 591 to 1288 of the family's 1831-position model. The record is from RNAcentral.
CUCAUAGCGUAUAUUAAGUUGUUGCAGUUAAAACGCUCGUAGUCGGAUUUCGGGGCGGGCUGCUCGGUCUGCCGAUGGGUAUGCACUGGGUGGCGCGUCCUUCCUUCCGGAGACCGCGCCUUCUCUUAACUGAGCGGGCGCGGGAGACGGAACGUUUACUUUGAAAAAAUCAGAGUGUUUCAAGCAGGCAUCUUCGCUCUUGCAUGGAUUAGCAUGGGAUAAUGAAAUAGGACUUUGGUGCUAUUUUGUUGGUUUCGAACACCGAAGUAAUGAUUAACAGGGACAGUCAGGGGCACUCGUAUUCCGUCGAGAGAGGUGAAAUUCUCAGACCAACGGAAGACGAACCACUGCGAAAGCAUUUGCCAGGGAUGUUUUCACUGAUCAAGAACGAAAGUUAGGGGAUCGAAGACGAUCAGAUACCGUCGUAGUCUUAACCAUAAACCAUGCCGACUAGGGAUUCGAGGGUGUUCCAUCUGUGACCCCUUGAGCACCUUUCGGGAAACUAAAGUCUUUGGGUUCCGGGGGGAGUAUGGUCGCAAGGCUGAAACUUAAAGGAAUUGACGGAAGGGCACCACCAGGAGUGGAGCCUGCGGCUUAAUUUGACUCAACACGGGGAAACUUACCAGGUCCAGACAUUGUGAGGAUUGACAGAUUGAGAGCUCUUUCUUGAUUCAAUGGGUGGUGGUGCAUGGC